GAUGAACGCUGGCGGCGUGCCUAAUACAUGCAAGUAGAACGCUGAAGGAAGGAGCUUGCUCUUUCCGGGUGAGUUGCGAACGGGUGAGUAACGCGUAGGUAACCUGCCUGGUAGCGGGGGAUAACUAUUGGAAACGAUAGCUAAUACCGCAUAACAGUAGAUGUUGCAUGAUAUCUACUUAAAAGGUGCAAUUGCACCACUACCAGAUGGACCUGCGUGGUAUUAGCUAGUUGGUUAGGUAACGGCUCACCAAGGCGACGAUACAUAGCCGACCUGAGAGGGUGAUCGGCCACACUGGGACUGAGACACGGCCCAGACUCCUACGGGAGGCAGCAGUAGGGAAUCUUCGGCAAUAGACGGAAGGCUGAACGAGCAACGCCGCGGGAGGGAAGGAGGGUCUCGGAUCGUAAAGCUCUGUUGUAAGGGAAGAACGAGUUGGAGAGUGGAAAGUUCACGCUGUGACGGUAUCUUACCAGAAAGGGACGGCUAACUACGUG
Molecule: ribosomal RNA, 497 nt
Filed under: uncultured bacterium
Lineage: Bacteria
Description: partial 16S ribosomal RNA
Rfam family: Bacterial small subunit ribosomal RNA
Source: RNAcentral